RNAcentral lists this ribosomal RNA (1061 nucleotides) under Scalithrium sp. LRP 10410. RNAcentral describes it as "16S ribosomal RNA". The stretch from base 688 to 966 matches the Rfam family "Bacterial large subunit ribosomal RNA", at positions 2074 to 2646 of the family's 2925-position model. The record is from RNAcentral. Lineage: Eukaryota; Metazoa; Platyhelminthes; Cestoda; Rhinebothriidea; Rhinebothriidae.
UAAAAUGCUGGUUUUGUAAGUCUGAGAUAAUUUUUUAUUAUUGACCUGAUUACUGAUAAGUUUAUUUCUUUAUUUAUUUUUAGGUUUGUGUGCCUUUUGCAUCAUGCUUAGGCGAAAUAGUUAGUGUAUUUCUUUAUACCGAAAACCCUAGAUCUUAUGUCGUGCUGUUAGGUUUAUUAUCGGGUAGAUGUGGAUUAGAUGCGAUGUAUGCUGUGAUAAGUUAGUCGGUGGUGUUUAUAGCUGUUUAAUGGUUUUAAUUUAUAGUUAUGUUGCAGGGCGAUGAAGUCAUGUAAUUUUAUAUACUGGUAUUUUAUGUUAGAUUAAUAGGGUUAAAAGUACCCCUUUGUCUAAAAAGUGUUAAAACUUUUUAUUAAAUUUUAUUUAGUUAUAGGUAUAGACCAUUUAUAGAACAAAUUGUAGAUAUGUAUGCUUAAAUAAGUAAUAUUAGUAUUGGUAUUGUUUCUCAAGUUUUGCCCGUCUGUUUAUUAAAAACAUUUCUAUAAUAUAAAAUUUAUAGUAGUGCCUGCUCUAUGUGUGUAUAAAUGGCCGCAGUAUCUUGACUGUGCGAAGGUAGCAUAAUUAAUUGCCUUAUAAUUGAAGGCUUGUCUGAAUGGUUUGACGAGGUAAAUACAAACAUUAUCAAUGUUGUUGAAAUUAUUAUAGAGGGCACAGAAACCUCUAAAAUUUAAUUAGACGGAAAGACCCCGGGAUCUUUCAUUUUUGUCUGGGGCAGAUAUAAAUUUUUCAUUUUUAUUAUGACCCUUUAAGGUUUGGUGAGUUAAGUUACCCCGGGGAUAACAGUAUAAUAGUUUAUUAGAGACCUUAUCGAUUAAACUGCUUGUUACCUCGAUGUUGACUUAGGCUUUAGGUUUGUGCGCAGUAGUUCAAGCUUUAGGUCUGUUCGACCUUUGUAGCCUCCAUGAGUUGAGUUAAGACCGGCGUGAGCCAGGUCGGUUCUUAUCUAUUGUUCUGGUUUAUUAGUACGAAAGGAUUGUAAGCCUUUUAUUUUGAGUGUGCAGCUUUGUGGCCUUAGUUUUGCAAAAACUAUUGAGAAAUUUAUU